This 465-nucleotide ribosomal RNA is filed under the name uncultured bacterium. Its description in RNAcentral is "bacterial SSU rRNA". It matches the Rfam family "Bacterial small subunit ribosomal RNA", at positions 329 to 792 of the family's 1533-position model. The record is from RNAcentral.
UACCAGACUCCUACGGGAGGCAGCAGUGAGAAAUAUUGGUCAAUGGGCGAGAGCCUGAACCAGCCAAGUCGCGUGAAGGAUGAAGGAUCUAUGGUUUGUAAACUUCUUUUAUAUGGGAAUAAAGUGAGGAACGUGUUCCUUUUUGUAUGUACCAUAUGAAUAAGCAUCGGCUAACUCCGUGCCAGCAGCCGCGGUAAUACGGAGGAUGCGAGCGUUAUCCGGAUUUAUUGGGUUUAAAGGGUGCGUAGGCGGAUUUUUAAGUCAGCGGUAAAAUGUCCGGGCUCAACCCGGGCCGGCCGUUGAAACUGGGGAUCUUGAGUGGGCGAGAAGUAUGCGGAAUGCGUGGUGUAGCGGUGAAAUGCAUAGAUAUCACGCAGAACUCCGAUUGCGAAGGCAGCAUACCGGCGCCCGACUGACGCUGAGGCACGAAAGCGUGGGGAUCGAACAGGAUUAGAUACCCGAGUA